RNAcentral lists this ribosomal RNA (217 nucleotides) under uncultured bacterium. Its description in RNAcentral is "partial 16S ribosomal RNA". It matches the Rfam family "Bacterial small subunit ribosomal RNA", at positions 524 to 741 of the family's 1533-position model. The record is from RNAcentral.
UACGUAGGGUCCAAGCGUUGUUCGGAAUUACUGGGCGUAAAGCGCGCGUAGGCGGGUUUGUAUGUCGAUUGUGAAAUCCCCGGGCUCAACCUGGGAACUGCAGUCGAAACUGCAAAUCUUGAAUGUCUGAGAGGAUGGCGGAAUUCCCGGUGUAGUAGUGAAAUACGUAGAUAUCGGGAAGAACACCUGUGGCGAAGGCGGCUACUGCGGCGAUACU